CUGGGAUGGACCUGCGGUGCAUUAGCUAGUUGGUAAGGUAACGGCUUACCAAGGCGAUGAUGCAUAGCCGAGUUGAGAGACUGAUCGGCCACAAUGGAACUGAGACACGGUCCAUACUCCUACGGGAGGCAGCAGUAGGGAAUCUUCCACAAUGGGCGCAAGCCUGAUGGAGCAACACCGCGUGAGUGAAGAAGGGUUUCGGCUCGUAAAGCUCUGUUGUUGGAGAAGAACGUGCGUGAGAGUAACUGUUCACGCAGUGACGGUAUCCAACCAGAAAGUCACGGCUAACUACGUGCCAGCAGCCGCGGUAAUACGUAGGUGGCAAGCGUUAUCCGGAUUUAUUGGGCGUAAAGCGAGCGCAGGCGGUUGCUUAGGUCUGAUGUGAAAGCCUUCGGCUUAACCGAAGAAGUGCAUCGGAAACCGGGCGACUUGAGUGCAGAAGAGGACAGUGGAACUCCAUGUGUAGCGGUGGAAUGCGUAGAUAUAUGGAAGAACACCAGUGGCGAAGGCGGCUGUCUGGUCUGCAACUGACGCUGAGGCUCGAAAGCAUGGGUAGCGAACAGGAUUAGAUACCCUGGUAGUCCAUGCCGUAAACGAUGAGUGCUAGGUGUUGGAGGGUUUCCGCCCUUCA
This 631-nucleotide ribosomal RNA is filed under the name uncultured bacterium. RNAcentral's name for it is "bacterial SSU rRNA". It matches the Rfam family "Bacterial small subunit ribosomal RNA", at positions 220 to 842 of the family's 1533-position model. The record is from RNAcentral.